UUUACAGAAAUUUAAUUUGACCGGAGAAGCUCUCGGGACACUCGGCACCAAAGAGAUUCCUGGUUCUAUCAUCUGUUGCUACUCUCUGUUCUUCUUUUAUCGUCUUCAGGUUCAGAAAAGAAAGGGUAUUCAAUCUAUUCUCAUUUCUCUAUUAAAUCAAAGAUGACAAUGACAUCGACAAAGGCUUGAAAAUGAUAAAACAUUGUGGGUGGCUGCAACUGACCGACUCGAGCUCGCUUCAGCCUCCUCCGAUCCUGCAGCUACUGUCUCCCCAAGCAAAGUCAACCUACAACAACAAGGUGAACCUCCUACCCUGCAGUUUAGGGAACAAGAACUAUCUCAGAUAAUAGGACAUGGUAGGGUCACAGGAAACAGGAAG
Triticum dicoccoides is the source of this 379-nucleotide long non-coding RNA. RefSeq lists it as uncharacterized. The record is from RefSeq and is a predicted model, not a curated record. The transcript is spliced from 3 exons. Lineage: Eukaryota; Viridiplantae; Streptophyta; Magnoliopsida; Poales; Poaceae.